RNAcentral lists this microRNA precursor (189 nucleotides) under Leersia perrieri. The record is from RNAcentral. Lineage: Eukaryota; Viridiplantae; Streptophyta; Magnoliopsida; Poales; Poaceae.
UCUCUGGGAUUGAGCCAAUGAUGGCUUGCUCAAUCGUGUUCUUUACCACAACCAUAUAUUUCUUGUUGGUUGAGGUCCACUCAGUUGUUCAUAGUUGAUAAAACAAAGUGGACCUUAGCCAACAAGAAGUGUAUGACUGUGGUAAAGAACACGAUUGAGCAAGCCAUCAUUGGCUCAAUCCUAGAGACU